This 468-nucleotide ribosomal RNA is filed under the name uncultured bacterium. Its description in RNAcentral is "partial 16S ribosomal RNA". It matches the Rfam family "Bacterial small subunit ribosomal RNA", at positions 28 to 507 of the family's 1533-position model. The record is from RNAcentral.
GACGAACGCUGGCGGCGUGCUUAACACAUGCAAGUCGAACGGAAAGGCCCUGCUUUUGUGGGGUGCUCGAGUGGCGAACGGGUGAGUAACACGUGAGUAACCUGCCCUUGACUUUGGGAUAACUUCAGGAAACUCGGGCUAAUACCGGAUAGGAUCUCCUGCUGCAUGGUGGUGGAUGGAAAGUUUCGGCGGUUGGGGAUGGACUCGCGGCUUAUCAGCUUGUUGGUGGGGUAGUGGCUUACCAAGGCUUUGACGGGUAGCCGGCCUGAGAGGGUGACCGGCCACAUUGGGACUGAGAUACGGCCCAGACUCCUACGGGAGGCAGCAGUGGGGAAUAUUGCACAAUGGGCGGAAGCCUGAUGCAGCAACGCCGCGUGCGGGAUGACGGCCUUCGGGUUGUAAACAGCUUUCGCCUGUGACGAAGAGUGAGUGACGGUAAUGGGUAAAGAAGCACCGGCUAACUACGUG